GGGUGCGAUCAUACCAGCAGUAAUGCACCGGAUCCCAUUAGAACUUCGCAGUUAAGCGUGCUUGGGCGAGAGUAGUACUAGGAUGGGUGACCUCAUAGGAAGUCCUCGUGUUGCGCCCC
RNAcentral lists this ribosomal RNA (119 nucleotides) under Beta vulgaris subsp. vulgaris (sugar beet). Lineage: Eukaryota; Viridiplantae; Streptophyta; Magnoliopsida; Caryophyllales; Amaranthaceae. The record is from RNAcentral.